Molecule: long non-coding RNA, 2391 nt
Organism: Panicum virgatum (switchgrass)
Lineage: Eukaryota; Viridiplantae; Streptophyta; Magnoliopsida; Poales; Poaceae
Exons: 2
Source: RefSeq, a predicted model, not a curated record
CUGGUGUUGGCCCAGAUCGUGCGCCAACAAGGUGGAGGAGCACUAGGGUGUCAAGACAGACCUGUAGGUGGCCUUGCUGAGAGCGAAGGCAGCUAGAGAAGGGCUGUCCGCGGCAGCUUAGCUCGCCGGCGGCCGGUGAUGGCGUGCGGUGGUGGUCCGGUGGGGCUGAGCGAGUAGGGCCGGGUACGGGAGGUGCAGUGGGAGGUGAGGGAGGCGACUGUGGGCGCGGUUUGGGCUGAGGAGGGGCGGAGGUGAGGGCGCAGCGUGCAGGAGCUAGGCGGCGGCGCGUGGCCGGCGCCCAGCCCCGCGGCCCCCUGCCCGGCGCGGCUAGCCCCUAGCUGUCACGGCCGGUGCCCAGACCCGACGACGGCGUCGAUCCGGCAGCCCUGCCGUGGUAGGGACGAGUGCACGUCGAUCUGCCGGCAGGCUCUCCAUGGCUCACGCCUCCGCCGCAGCGACUCUUCCUAUCCGCGUGCGUGAAGAGGAAAGGUGGGGGGUAGCGUGGUCUUUUUGCCGUGUGCUGUCUUGGGAUAACGGCAGCUAUGCACGGAGAAAUAGUAAUUUAAAAUUUUAUAUUGAUGCAUUUUAGUAUUUUUAUUAUAAUUAUAAUUAUAUAAUUUAGAUUCAAAUUUAGAGGUUACUUUAAUUUCUAAUAAGAUACAAUUGGAUAAUUCAUAUGCAAAUUUAGGAGUUUGUUUGCAUUAUUUUUAUAAUGGCAAAGAUGAGUAAUUUACACAAAGAUUAGGGGAUUACAUUAGAUUUUUUUAUAAUGGUAGAGUUGGGUAAUUUAGAUAUAUAUUUAGGAGUUACUUAGUCUUCCUUAGUCUUCCUUCAUAAUUGCAGAUGUGAGUAAUUUAUUAGGAAAGAUAACUGAUCUAAUGACUAUUAUAAUUAAUAUAAUAGAUUUGCCGGAUUGAUAGGCAAAUGUUUCUGAUUUUUGUAAGAAAUUUUAGACUUUCUCUAUUUUUGUAGAAUGUCCACCUAAGAUGCUACGUGGCUUCACGUGGAGGCUUAAAAGGAGCCUUCAAUUAGUAAUAGCUAAGUAGGAGAAGUUUGACGGACAAGAAUCUACAACUAAUGUUUGGAAUCAGCGCGAGUACGUACCACUGGAGCUACCAUGAUGAAUUUCUCUGUAUAGGAAGGACCAGCAAACUGAAGAAGCUCCAGAAAUCUACCCCAUCUCUGGUCUACUCGCUUCCAGAUGGAUCUCCACCAGCUAAGCUAGCCAUGCAAGAUCAAAGUUAAUUAUACGCCAAUUCUUCAGAAGUGUAUAAAAAAGGCGCAAGUAGUAAUAACCACAUGGAAUUAAGAAGGAUAGAUGUUAUUAUAUACCUUGGCACUUGGCAGCUAGCUAGAAUGUAUCCUUAGUUGAGGGGGUAAAAAACAGGAGUAUGUGGCGCUAUAUAUGAAGUAUCUGCUAACUUCCUUCAGAGAAACUGUGUGCGCCGGGAGAGAAGUGACCGCCACAACAUGGUAGUGGACACUAACCGUCAAUGCGAAUGCUAUAUGUAUAGGAAAGCUGCAUGCAAGGGGCUCAAGCUUCUGAAAAUAGCUUCACCUUGUAGCUUCUUGACAUUGGCUUUCAUGGAAAAAGAAAGAUGCGCAGCGUGCUCGUUGCUUGGGGCUGGAGCCUGGAGGCAAAGAAUAAAAUAAAGACGGAACGGUCCUGCAAACAAAAGUAACUUGUCGGAUGAUCUCUCCAGCACAUCGAAGAUCCGUUUGUCCGAAGGCUCGUAAUGUUCUCAGCAGAUCACCGGACAUCAGUGUAUUUGUAUUGAGCAAGACUGAGUACCACCCACGUCCUCAGCAAAUCAAGAAAGCAAAAAUGCAGUUAACAGUAUGCACAGCUUCAACAAUGGAAGGAGGCAGAGCCAAGGCUGCACUAUCAUUGUGGUAGAUUGCCAAAACCUAUAGCUUAGUAUUGAAUCCAGGGCUGUCAUGUAGACCAACAUGCAUGACUCUCAUAGCCAGCACAUCUCUAGCUUGCACCAAGGGCCACGCCCCUUUCAAUCCAGUAAAAUACCAGGGCCGUCUCCCUUGCCAUUCAAUAAUCUCACCUUACUAAUUCGUAUCUACCAGGUUUGUCACCCAUUUUCAAGACAAUGUUAAGUAUAUAUCCUUGAGGACGUCUCCUAUUUUUGACCACCACCACCAGACAUGAACUUCCUCAUUGGUGUCAUGACAAGCAAUUUACAAUGCCCUAUUCCAGAUUUCCAGUCCCAACUCCGCACCUGCUAGGUUUCACAACAUGGUAGAUUGUGGAGUCCAGACUGAGUGUCCCGCGGGACUACCACAACUAGCACACUUUUGCACACUAAGGUCAUGACCCUUAUUUACAAACUCACAAUACAUGGUUGGAAACAAUAGUGGAAUACAAAUGCCUUCAUUUUC